This is a non-coding RNA of Acanthosepion pharaonis, 102 nucleotides long. The record is from the annotation of a GenBank genome assembly. Lineage: Eukaryota; Metazoa; Mollusca; Cephalopoda; Sepiida; Sepiidae.
CAUGUUGAAACACCGUUUCCAAUACGAUCACCGAAGUUAAGCAACGUCGAGCCUGGUCAGUACCUAGAUAAGCGACCACUUGGGAAUACAGGGCGCUGCAAG